GAAAUGCGAUAAGUAAUGUGAAUUGCAGAAUUCAGUGAAUCAUCGAAUCUUUGAACGCACAUUGCGCCCGCCAGUAUUCUGGCGGGCAUGCCUGUACGAGCGUCAUUACAACCCUCAGGCCCCCGGGCCUGGCGUUGGGGAUCGGCGGAAGCCCCCUGCGGGCACAACGCCGUCCCCCAAAUACAGUGGCGGUCCCGCCGCAGCUUCCAUUGCGUAGUAGCUAACACCUCGCAACUGGAGAGCGGCGCGGCCACGCCGUAAAACACCCAACUUCUGAAUGUUGACCUCGAAUCAGGUAGGAAUACCCGCUGAACUUAAGC
This 320-nucleotide unclassified non-coding RNA is filed under the name plant metagenome. RNAcentral describes it as "partial contains 5.8S ribosomal RNA, internal transcribed spacer 2, and large subunit ribosomal RNA". The stretch from base 1 to 105 matches the Rfam family "5.8S ribosomal RNA", at positions 50 to 154 of the family's 154-position model. The record is from RNAcentral.